UCGGCAAUCGUGACUCGCGUAGCACCGAGUUUCAUUCAUUUACUUAACACCGAUAUACAGAUUUAAAUUAUUGAUAUUUGUGUACAUUUGUGAUCGCAUCGGGCGCCAAAACGUGCAUGACAAAGGGAACGAGUCGGAAACACUUUCGUCCUCCUCUCGAUGGAAUCUCACAGGCAGUGGCGACGUCGAAGCACCUGCGAGUGCCUCGACUACGCGCUAAUUAAACGUCGAUGCUGAGAGAAAAAACGUCGGACUUUCACGUCCCGAUUCACUCUCGUGCGCGCUUGUUACCGUUUUUCUUAAACUCGAUCUCAAAUAACGAGACUUGGGGGAUCCUCGGAAAUGGAAAAACUCGGGCUGACGAAGAUAUUUUAACGAGAGUCUCGCUCGAGCAGUGCUUUCUCACGAUCAUUUUAACGAAGACUCGUCGAAAAUUCUCGUCUCCCUAGUGAUAAAGUUCUGCUUCGUAGUACACUCGCUUGCAACGGCUUCUCAUUGGCGAAUCUUCGCAGUGCCUCGUCCGUCGAAGCUCCGAUCGAUGAUCUCGGACUUGCCGAUUCAAUAAGCCCGCGAUCAAAUUUUCCUCUCUUCUCAACUCCCAUUGCCAAAGCUGUUGGCAAAGUUGGCUCCUACCGAAGUCUGUGAGAGCCUCAAAGGUCGACGGUCCCGAGCGAUAAGAAUUUUAUUCCAAAAGGAGGAAUAAAAGUGUAUGGAAACACGGAGAAAAAUCGAAGCACCGAUACUCCGAGACGCACUGCCGGUUUUGAACAUUCGUCGUGUGUGCUCCCCCACGGCCCGCCCUCCCACUCUUUGUCGCGGGAAACGGACGAAUUAUUCGUUCGCCGAUCGCUUCCGAUUGAAUAACGGAAGAAAAAGUACCUGAAGUCCGCGAAUAAUUAUUGCGAGUUGGUCCCGAAUUUCCAAAAGCACCGAAAAUUCGACGACAAAUAGCGAGGAAAGACGAAGAGCUUUUUCGAAUUAUAAAAUAAACGGAAAGAUCCUCGGCGAGCAGUCCUCGAAUGAACGGCGCGCGUACGUCAACGACAUAACAACGAGAAAGUUGCAACUUCCGCGUGCUGAGGAAAGUGCCAAGUUUCUUCGAGCCAAGGAAAAAAGCGAGCUCGCACGAUCAUCGCGAUCGAUCGAGCCGGAAUAAAAUUCAGCAAAGACCGACGCGCCAGCAGAGAGUGUGAAAACUUUCCGAGCCUCCGACACGAUGAGUUUGAAAGCCCAAAGAAUUUUCGUCCACUCGGCUAUUAUUUGGAAGGGAAAAUAAACGAUGAAAAAAAAGGUGGUCGAGCAGAAGGAAGGAGAAUAACGGAAGCAAGCUAUGAAAAAUGGGAGUGCUGUUGAUGUCGGAGAUCGGAAGACCUUUGAUGAGCGAUAAGAAUAAAAAUCAGCACGAUCAAAUAUUCCACAUGAAUGUGAGCGUCGCGAAGACGGCGUUGCCGCCCCGCGCGACCGCCAUAAUAGCGAACGGCAACGGGCUAAACAACGAGGCCGAUCGGCCCAGCAUCGUAACUCACUUGGGCCGCGUCCACGCCGGGAAACAUUCGAGUUUAUCUCAUUUUCAAAGCAUCGAUACCACCUCCAUGAUCGGAAUAAUCGAUGACGUCAAACUGCUUCCGCCGCCGAUUUCAACCUCGGUAGGAUCGACUCAGCCUCCACCAAAGAAAAAAUGGAUCCGUCAUUACCUCCUCGAGGAAGAUCCUCUCGAAGUGACCCGCAUGAACGGGAACCAUUCGAUCGGAUCACGCGCCAGUCCCGUCAUCAUGAACUCCCGGGGAACACCCCCGGUCUCCGGUACUAUCGGCCUCACCGUUCAUCCCCACGUUCAUCACGUGAACUCGCAUCACCAACAGCAACAAAAUCAAGUCCAGCAACAAGCUCAGCCACAAAUUAUUCACCAACAUCACCACCACCAGCAGCAACAUCUCAACAAUCACAACAGCACAGCGCACAAUCAGUACAUCGAGAAUCACAACUCUAAUCACAGUCAGACCGGAGCCGGACAACUCGUCGUUGAUCUUGAUUCGAGCCACGACAAUAAAAAACAUCGGAAUGGACCACCUUGCGUUAUACGUUCGGGUACGAGGGAGGUUCACAACAAACUCGAGAAAAAUCGUCGUGCUCAUCUCAAAGAAUGCUUCGAAUUGUUGAAGAAACAACUUCCUGCCCAGGACGAGAAAAAAUCGUCGAAUCUCUCGAUUCUUCAUGCUGCUAUCAAACACAUUCAGACAUUGAGAAGAAAAGAACGAGACUCGGAGCACGAGAUGGAAAGGCUUGCUAGAGAAAAAAUCGCCGCUCAACAGAGGAUAGUCGCGCUGAAGAAAGAAUUAUCUGCAACGUGGGAUCACAUUGAUUUCAGUACUUUGCUGCAGGAACCAAAUUCGGCUGUAGACCCGUCAGCCUCGAAGAAUGUUUCAGAAAGUAUGGACGUGGACGUGACUGGGCUGGCACGUGGCGGUACGAGGUACAGUAGCACGAGUAGCCUGAGUAGCGCCGCGACAGCGAGUUCACCGCAAAAUCUUCAGACAGCAAACACGACCUCGAAUAUUCACAAUCAAGUGGCAACCGCGGCGGUUGUGUGCCAAACCCAGGGCCUCAAUCUCGCUCAAAGCUCGAGGGAAAGUCCACCCGCGAGCUCGAGUCCCGGAGCAUCAACUCCUAGCAUUCCUACACCCGCUCAAGAAAAAGUCGUGACAACUUCGGCUAACGUGAUGCAGCAGCAACAGUCGCAUCAAUUGCACUUACCAAUGUUGAACACGAGUCAAGGCUUGGCAACGAUUGUUCCCGCUCUCCAGCAUCUCGGUCCAGGACUGAGGGUUAUUCCCGGCGAUACGAGACAACUCCUUGUAACUCAUACCACCGGCAACAACGAGACUCGUCCGCUGACUCUCGCAGUUCAAAAUUCCUCAGAUCAAUCGAGACCUUUGAUUACUGUACAAACGAGCACUGGAAGUGAGCCAAGACCUGUCGCCUUGGUCGUUCACUCUUCCGCCGCAAAUGAUAAUAGAGUUACUUUUGUUCAUUCGAAUUUGUCGAACAACGAUAGGCCAUUGGCACUUGCUGUACAGUCAUCCGCGAACGAAGUAAGGCCCGUCACGUUCGUACACUCUGGGAAUGAGGCAAGGCCACUCGUUCUCGCUACACAUGCUGCCCCAACACUCAACGUUACGACCGCCCAGUCGAGAAUGAGAACCGGUGAUGCGCAGACAACUCAUAAAAUGGUUGGUGGAGUGACACUCGUUGGUGGAAAUGGAUCGGAAUUAACGAGACUCCCCGGAGGCGCUGAACUCAAUAUUUUACCUGCAAACGGUGUGUUCCGUUCCGUCAAGGCUCAGCCACUCACUGUUCAAGGAGGUGACUGACCACAAACAAAUUUCAUUACGAAAAACACAAACAUUUCCCCCUUUCCAUCGCACAGUUGUUGGGGUCUGACACUGAGUCAUGCAGGCGUCUCGCUUCAAGCUUCGCCGGGCAAAGGUGGCUCGACGGUUAUGCAAACGAAUCCGUCCACAGAGGGUCAAAUAACUCACAUAGUAGGUCAACACGCCCCAU
Molecule: unclassified non-coding RNA, 3561 nt
Filed under: Venturia canescens
Lineage: Eukaryota; Metazoa; Arthropoda; Insecta; Hymenoptera; Ichneumonidae
Description: max-binding protein MNT-like, transcript variant X6
Source: RNAcentral